GGCGAUAACGAACGAGACCUUAACCUGCUAAAUAGCCAGGCUAGCUUUGGCUGGUCGCCGGCUUCUUAGAGGGACUAUCGGCUCAAGCCGAUGGAAGUUUGAGGCAAUAACAGGUCUGUGAUGCCCUUAGAUGUCCUGGGCCGCACGCGCGCUACACUGACAGAGCCAGCGAGUUUCAACCUUGGCCGGAAGGUCUGGGUAAUCCUGUGAAACUCUGUCGUGCUGGGGAUAGAGCAUUGCAAUUAUUGCUCUUCAACGAGGAAUACCUGGUAAGCGCGAGUCAUCAGCUCGCGUUGAUUACGUCCCUGCCCUUUGUACACACCGCCCGUCGCUAAUACCGAUUGAAUGGGUG
RNAcentral lists this ribosomal RNA (352 nucleotides) under Eukaryota sp. Its description in RNAcentral is "SSU rRNA". It matches the Rfam family "Eukaryotic small subunit ribosomal RNA", at positions 1324 to 1699 of the family's 1831-position model. The record is from RNAcentral.